UGAACGCUGGCGGCGUGCCUAAUACAUGCAAGUCGAGCGAACAGACGAGGAGCUUGCUCCUCUGACGUUAGCGGCGGACGGGUGAGUAACACGUGGAUAACCUACCUAUAAGACUGGGAUAACUUCGGGAAACCGGAGCUAAUACCGGAUAAUAUAUUGAACCGCAUGGUUCAAUAGUGAAAGACGGUUUUGCUGUCACUUAUAGAUGGAUCCGCGCCGCAUUAGCUAGUUGGUAAGGUAACGGCUUACCAAGGCAACGAUGCGUAGCCGACCUGAGAGGGUGAUCGGCCACACUGGAACUGAGACACGGUCCAGACUCCUACGGGAGGCAGCAGUAGGGAAUCUUCCGCAAUGGGCGAAAGCCUGACGGAGCAACGCCGCGUGAGUGAUGAAGGUCUUCGGAUCGUAAAACUCUCUUAUUAGGGAAGAACAAAUGUGUAAGUAACUAUGCACGUCUUGACGGUACCUAAUCAGAAAGCCACGGCUAACUACGUG
Molecule: ribosomal RNA, 495 nt
Filed under: uncultured bacterium
Lineage: Bacteria
Description: partial 16S ribosomal RNA
Rfam family: Bacterial small subunit ribosomal RNA
Source: RNAcentral